Molecule: ribosomal RNA, 254 nt
Filed under: uncultured bacterium
Lineage: Bacteria
Description: partial 16S ribosomal RNA
Rfam family: Bacterial small subunit ribosomal RNA
Source: RNAcentral
UACGUGGGGAGCAAGCGUUGUUCGGAUUUACUGGGCGUAAAGGGCGCGUAGGCGGUCAGCACAAGUCAGUUGUGAAAUCUCCGGGCUUAACUCGGAAAGGUCAACUGAUACUGUGCGACUAGAGUGCGGAAGGGGCAACUGGAAUUCUUGGUGUAGCGGUGAAAUGCGUAGAUAUCAAGAGGAACACCUGCGGCGAAGGCGGGUUGCUGGGCCGACACUGACGCUGAGGCGCGAAAGCCAGGGGAGCGAACGGG